RNAcentral lists this ribosomal RNA (1179 nucleotides) under Triticum aestivum (bread wheat). Its description in RNAcentral is "partial small subunit ribosomal RNA". The record is from RNAcentral. Lineage: Eukaryota; Viridiplantae; Streptophyta; Magnoliopsida; Poales; Poaceae.
AUGUCCGUCAUGCGGGUUCUUGCGCUGCUGGCGGCGGCGGCGCUGGUGGCCGCGGCGCCGGCGCGCGUGGGCGCGGCGGGGGCGUGCACGGCGGAGAAGUUCUCCAAGAACCGCGUGUACGCGGCCUGCACCGACCUGCCCACCCUGGGCGCGUCCGUGCACUGGACCUACGACCCAGCGGCGUCCUCCCUGUCCGUGGCGUUCGUCGCCGCGCCGCCCUCGGCCGGCGGCUGGGUCGCCUGGGGGCUCAACCCCACCGGCGACGGCAUGAGCGGCACGCAGGCGCUCGUCGCCUCGCCCACGGGCGGCGGCGGCGCGUACGGCGUCCAGACGUUCGACAUCCAGGGCACCUCGCUCGGAUCGCCGGGCCGCAUCGCCUACAAGACGUCCGACCUCGCCGCCGAGGUCGGCGCCGACGGCCGCGUCCAGAUGUUCGGGAAGCUCGCGCUCCAGAACGGCACCGGGGAGGUGAACCAGGUCUGGCAGGUGGGCCCAGCGUCGAGCGGGAGCAUCGGCAUACACGCCAUGGCCGCUGCCAACAUGGGGGCCAAGGGGAAGCUCAACCUCGUCACGGGGGCGACCACCGCCGUCAGCGGAGGCAGCAUCCUCAGGAAGAAAAACACCCAUGGAAUUCUGAAUGCUGUUAGCUGGGGGAUUCUUCUCCCAAUGGGAGCCAUAGUUGCUAGAUACCUCAAGACAUUCAAAUCAGCCGACCCUGCUUGGUUCUACCUUCACGUUGCUUGCCAGCUGAUUGGGUAUGCUGUGGGAGUAUCUGGCUGGGCCACCGGUAUUCAUCUAGGAAAUCUGUCCAAGGGAAUCACCUACUCGCUUCACAGGAACAUCGGGAUCGCUGUAUUUGCUCUUGGUACCGUUCAGAUCUUUGCACUGUUCCUGAGGCCGAAGAAGGAUCACAAGCUGCGCGUGUACUGGAACGUGUACCACCACUCGGUGGGCUACACCAUCAUCAUCCUGGGCAUCGUCAACAUCUUCAAGGGCAUGAGCAUCCUGGACGUGGCGCAGAAGUGGAAGACUGGGUACAUCAUCGCCAUCGGCAUCCUGGGCGGCAUCGCCGUGGUGCUGGAGGUGAUCACCUGGGGCAUCGUGCUGAAGAGGAGGAAGACGGAGGACAAGGCCUACAACGGCAGCGCCAACAACAACAACGGCCAUCUGCCGAUGUGA